UACGUAGGGGCCUAGCGUUGUCCGGAAUUAUUGGGCGUAAAGAGCUCGUAGGCGGUUCGGCAAGUCGGAUGUGAAAUCUCCACGCUUAACGUGGAGGGGCCAUUCGAAACUGCCGUGACUCGAGUCCGGUAGGGGAGUGUGGAAUUCCCGGUGUAGCGGUGAAAUGCGCAGAUAUCGGGGGAACACCAGUAGCGAAGGCGGCACUCUGGGCCGGUACUGACGCUGAGGAGCGAAAGCGUGGGGAGCGAACAGG
This 253-nucleotide ribosomal RNA is filed under the name uncultured bacterium. Its description in RNAcentral is "partial 16S ribosomal RNA". It matches the Rfam family "Bacterial small subunit ribosomal RNA", at positions 524 to 776 of the family's 1533-position model. The record is from RNAcentral.